GUAAACGGCGGCCGUAACUAUAACGGUCCUAAGGUAGCGAAAUUCCUUGUCGGGUAAGUUCCGACCCGCACGAAAGGCGUAACGAUUUGGGCACUGUCUCAACAACAGACUCGGUGAAAUUGUAAUACCGGUGAAGAUGCCGGUUACCUGCGACAGGACGGAAAGACCCCAUGGAGCUUUACUGUAGCUUGACAUUGAGUCUCGGUGCUACAUGUACAGGAUAGGUGGGAGACUAUGAAGCAUGGACGUCAGUCUGUGUGGAGUCAUCCUUGGGAUACCACCCUUGUAGUACUGGGAUUCUAACCAGAGGCCAUGAAUCUGGUCUUGGGACACUGUCAGGUGGACAGUUUGACUGGGGCGGUCGCCUCCCAAAAAGUAACGGAGGCGCUCAAAGGUUCUCUCAGUACGGUCGGAAAUCGUACGAAGAGUGUAAAGGCAAAAGAGAGCUUGAUUGCAAGACAUACAGGUCGAGCAAGGACGAAAGUCGGACUUAGUGAUCCGGUGGUUCCGCAUGGAAGGGCCAUCGCUCAACGGAUAAAAGCUACCCUGGGGAUAACAGGCUGAUCUCCCCCAAGAGUCCACAUCGACGGGGAGGUUUGGCACCUCGAUGUCGGCUCAUCACAUCCUGGGGCUGUAGUAGGUCCCAAGGGUUGGGCUGUUCGCCCAUUAAAGUGGUACGCGAGCUGGGUUCAGAACGUCGUGAGACAGUUCGGUCCCUAUCCGUCGCAGGCGUAGGAAAUUUGAGGAGACCUGUCCUUAGUACGAGAGGACCGGGAUGGACGUACCGCUGGUGUACCAGUUGUUCUGCCAAGGGCAUGGCUGGGUAGCUAAGUACGGAAAGGAUAAGCGCUGAAAGCAUCUAAGCGCGAAGCCCACUUCAAGAUAAGAUUUCCCACCGCAAGGUUAAGAUCCCAGGAAGACUACCUGGUUGAUAGGUCAGAGGUGUAAGUGCAGUAAUGUAUUUAGCUUACUGAUACUAAUAGAUCGAGGACUUGACCAA
Molecule: ribosomal RNA, 1000 nt
Filed under: human gut metagenome
Description: bacterial LSU rRNA
Rfam family: Bacterial large subunit ribosomal RNA
Source: RNAcentral